RNAcentral lists this ribosomal RNA (222 nucleotides) under Stumpffia lynnae. RNAcentral describes it as "partial large subunit ribosomal RNA". It matches the Rfam family "Bacterial large subunit ribosomal RNA", at positions 1859 to 2127 of the family's 2925-position model. The record is from RNAcentral. Lineage: Eukaryota; Metazoa; Chordata; Amphibia; Anura; Microhylidae.
CUGCCCAGUGACUAAUAGUUAAACGGCCGCGGUACCCUAACCGUGCAAAGGUAGCACAAUCACUUGUUCUUUAAAUCAGGACUAGUAUGAACGGCCCCACGAGGGCUAUGCUGUCUCCCCCCUCCAAUCAGUGAAACUGACCCCCUCGUGAAGAAGCGAGGAUAAUCUCAUAAGACGAGAAGACCCCAUGGAACUUUAAACUAGCACCACCCCCCCCCCCCC